Long non-coding RNA from Oreochromis niloticus (Nile tilapia), 524 nucleotides. RefSeq lists it as uncharacterized. The transcript has 2 exons. NCBI's taxonomy places the organism in Eukaryota, Metazoa, Chordata, Actinopteri, Cichliformes, Cichlidae. The record is from RefSeq and is a predicted model, not a curated record.
GCGCAUAACCUUCAGACAGAGACAGUGAAAGGCGCUCGCAGCUUCCCCCACACGAUGUGUCGAUAUGACGUCGCUGUUGUCUCGUCUUCAGGCGGGAUGAAAACAGUCAGCUUGUACUCCAAACAGCUGCCCGUGCAACAACCGACGGUGGGCCAGCUGAGGAAGGAAGCGCUCAAAGCGUUUUCCACAGAGAAAUAUUUGGGUGAAAUCCGUCUGGUCGUUGAAGGAAAGCCACUGGACGACGACUCUGCGUCGCUGUCCGACUGCAAAAUCAAGCCCAACUCUGUUGUGCAGAUGGUGACCAAGGUUCACGGAGGCUGACUGAGCUCCAUCGUCGAGCUCCAACCGUUUAAUACAGACCAAGGACAAAAAUGCUUUUGUACUGUUAAACCUGUGCAGUUAUUUCGAGCUGCAGUUUCUCAGGGUGUAAACAAUUCUUUAGCUCCUUUUUUCUUUUUUCUCUUUUUUUGUUGUUGAUAAAUUAUGUGGGACACCAAUAACAAAUCGAAGGGUACAAACACCGC